UGGGAAAUGGCAGAGCCCUGAGUGAUAUCCCUGUGGGA
This 38-nucleotide non-coding RNA is filed under the name Mus musculus (house mouse). The record is from RNAcentral. Lineage: Eukaryota; Metazoa; Chordata; Mammalia; Rodentia; Muridae.